This 607-nucleotide ribosomal RNA is filed under the name uncultured beta proteobacterium. RNAcentral describes it as "bacterial SSU rRNA". It matches the Rfam family "Bacterial small subunit ribosomal RNA", at positions 80 to 682 of the family's 1533-position model. The record is from RNAcentral. Lineage: Bacteria; Pseudomonadati; Pseudomonadota; Betaproteobacteria.
UCGGAUGCUGACGAGUGGCGAACGGGUGAGUAAUACAUCGGAACGUGCCUAGUACUGGGGGAUAACUACUCGAAAGAGUAGCUAAUACCGCAUGAGAUCUACGGAUGAAAGCAGGGGACCUUCGGGCCUUGUGCUACUAGGAGCGGCUGGAUGGCAGAUUAGGUAGUUGUUGGGGUAAAGGCUUACCAAGCCUGCGAUCUGUAGCUGGUCUGAGAGGGCGACCAGCCACACUGGGACUGAGACACGGCCCAGACUCCUACGGGAGGCAGCAGUGGGGAAUUCUGGACAAUGGGCGAAAGCCUGAUCCAGCAAUGCCGCGUGCAGGAUGAAGGCCCUCGGGUUGUAAACUGCUUUUGUACGGAACGAAAAGCCUGGGGCUAAUAUCCCCGGGUCAUGACGGUACCGUAAGAAUAAGCACCGGCUAACUACGUGCCAGCAGCCGCGGUAAUACGUAGGGUGCAAGCGUUAAUCGGAAUUACUGGGCGUAAAGCGUGCGCAGGCGGUUUUGUAAGACAGUGGUGAAAUCCCCGGGCUCAACCUGGGAACUGCCAUUGUGACUGCAAGGCUAGAGUGCGGCAGAGGGGGAUGGAAUUCCGCGUGUAGCAGU